UCUAAACGACUCUCGGCAACGGAUAUCUCGGCUCUCGCAUCGAUGAAGAACGUAGCGAAAUGCGAUACUUGGUGUGAAUUGCAGAAUCCCGUGAACCAUCGAGUCUUUGAACGCAAGUUGCGCCCGAAGCCUUCUGGCCGAGGGCACGCCUGCCUGGGCGUCACA
This 165-nucleotide ribosomal RNA is filed under the name Veronica rhodopea. RNAcentral describes it as "5.8S ribosomal RNA". It matches the Rfam family "5.8S ribosomal RNA". Rfam says of the family: 5.8S ribosomal RNA (5.8S rRNA) is a component of the large subunit of the eukaryotic ribosome. It is transcribed by RNA polymerase I as part of the 45S precursor that also contains 18S and 28S rRNA. Lineage: Eukaryota; Viridiplantae; Streptophyta; Magnoliopsida; Lamiales; Plantaginaceae. The record is from RNAcentral.